Molecule: long non-coding RNA, 687 nt
Filed under: Ananas comosus (pineapple)
Lineage: Eukaryota; Viridiplantae; Streptophyta; Magnoliopsida; Poales; Bromeliaceae
Description: long non-coding RNA (ACOM_LNC040075)
Source: RNAcentral
GACAGAGACGAGGAGUUGGAUUUUGGGCUCGACGAGAGGACGAUCUAGUUAGACGGCAGUAGCGACCGUCACCCUGGUUAUUUCUUUCCCGCACUUAGUAGUUUUCUUAAUAAUGGUUCAGUUAGCUGAUCUUAUGUAUGCUUGAAUGUAUGUGAACUGUGGUGUUGGUUUCUUUUAUACAUGAGAUUGGAGUUUUCGAUCUGUGGUUUUGGUUCUGUGGAGAUUUGGUUUUCUUGUAGUGAUGCAUCGUGGUUUUCUACACCUCGAGGUAGUCGGUUUUCAAAAAUAGAGUUUCCGUGUGGGAAACAGUUUUAAAAAGGUUUUCGAACGUUUUUUAUGAAUGAAUGAAUUAGAGUUUAAAAACAAAAGCUUCCGUGUGGGGAGCACUUUUAAGUAGGAUGUUUGUUGUAUUGUGCAUUGCAUCAUCCAGCGCCUAAGGAGUGCUUAGAGGCAUGCAUCAUUCUAAGGAUUGUUAGCUGUAUGGAAAUACAUAUCAUGCUUUGGUUGUUGUUUGGUAAAUGUAGGUUGUGGUUGUGAUCCUGUUGUAUCGUUGGUACGCCGUGCAAAUACAAAGGAGACUCUGUCCGAGUGGACAGAGGAACUUUGUAUUUGUGGCGGGUCUGUACGUCGCGUGGGCCAGGUUGAAAAAAAAAAAAAGGCACGUUUUCCGCAACUCUGUUUUAAAAA